This 403-nucleotide long non-coding RNA is filed under the name Bos taurus (domestic cattle). RNAcentral describes it as "long non-coding RNA NONBTAT011782". The record is from RNAcentral. Lineage: Eukaryota; Metazoa; Chordata; Mammalia; Artiodactyla; Bovidae.
UACUAGGUGACCAGCUCAGUCUCUGUUCUGGAUGUCUCUCUACCCUGUUCACCUGCCCUACCUGACAUCACCUGGGAUUCUAGGACUUACCUUCCUGGGCUGCAACUUUGCUCCUGGAUUUGGAUUCCUGUCUCUUCUGCUUUGCGUAUUUUUAGUUUCUCUCUCUGAAAAGUUCCCAAUCGAUUAGCAAACAUCCAAAAUAAAGGCCCAAGUACAGCCUGACUCCUAAAGAAGAGUCAACAUCACUGAGCUCCAUCAAAUAGGAUCACAAUUCCCAGUAUCCUUAGAUGAACAUUUAGUUCUCAGUUAUGUGCUCUUAUUGCUGUACCUUUUCUAUCACAUAUUCCUGUUUAUCAACAACUGUUUUCUAAAUUUCCUAAUAAAAUAAUUCCAUUUAUCAUGU